GAUGAACGCUGGCGGCGUGCCUAAUACAUGCAAGUCGAACGAACAGACGAUGAGCUUGCUCCUCUUACGUUAGCGGCGGGCGGGUGAGUAACACGUGUAUCACCUACCUAUCUUUCUGGGAUAACUUCGAAACACCGGAUAUAAUACCAUAGAAUAUCUUGAACCGCGUGGUGCAAUAGUAAAUGACGGUUUUGCUGUCUCUUAUAGAUGCAUCCGCGCCGGAUUGUCUGGUUGUUAAGGUCACGGCUUACCAAGGCAACGAUGCGUAGCCGAACUGAGAGGGUGAUCGCCCACAUUGGAACUGAGACAGGGUCAAGACUCCUACGGGAGGCAGCAGUAGGGAAUAUUAGGCAAUGGGCGAAAGCCUGACGGAGCAACGCCGCGUGAGUGAUGAAGGUCUUCCGAGCGUAAAACCCUGUUAUGAGGGAAGAACAACUGUGUAAGUAAAUAUGCACGUAUUGACGGUAACUAAUAAGAAAGCAACGGCUAACUACGUG
This 497-nucleotide ribosomal RNA is filed under the name uncultured bacterium. RNAcentral describes it as "partial 16S ribosomal RNA". It matches the Rfam family "Bacterial small subunit ribosomal RNA", at positions 28 to 507 of the family's 1533-position model. The record is from RNAcentral.